AUUGAACGCUGGCGGCAUGCUUUACACAUGCAAGUCGAACGGCAGCACGGGUGCUUGCACCUGGUGGCGAGUGGCGAACGGGUGAGUAAUACAUCGGAACGUACCUUAUCGUGGGGGAUAACGCAGCGAAAGCUGUGCUAAUACCGCAUACGCCCUGAGGGGGAAAGCGGGGGAUCGCAAGACCUCGCGCGAUUAGAGCGGCCGAUGCCUGAUUAGCUUGUUGGUGGGGUAAAAGCCCACCAAGGCGACGAUCAGUAGCUGGUCUGAGAGGACGAUCAGCCACACUGGGACUGAGACACGGCCCAGACUCCUACGGGAGGCAGCAGUGGGGAAUUUUGGACAAUGGGGGGAACCCUGAUCCCGCAAUGCCGCGUGGGUGAAGAAGGCGUUCGGGUUGUAAAGCUCUUUUGUCAGGGAAGAAACACCGGCUCUAACACAGUCCGGGAAUGACGGUACCUGAAGAAUAAGCACCGGCUAACUACGUGCCAGCAGCAGCCGCAG
This 501-nucleotide ribosomal RNA is filed under the name uncultured bacterium. RNAcentral describes it as "partial 16S ribosomal RNA". It matches the Rfam family "Bacterial small subunit ribosomal RNA", at positions 29 to 523 of the family's 1533-position model. The record is from RNAcentral.